CCUACGGGUGGCAGCAGUGAGGAAUAUUGGUCAAUGGACGAGAGUCUGAACCAGCCAAGUAGCGUGAAGGAUGACUGCCCUAUGGGUUGUAAACUUCUUUUAUAAAGGAAUAAAACGAGGCACGUGUGCCUUUUUGCAUGUACUUUAUGAAUAAGGAUCGGCUAACUCCGUGCCAGCAGCCGCGGUAAUACGGAGGAUCCGAGCGUUAUCCGGAUUUAUUGGGUUUAAAGGGAGCGUAGAUGGGUUGUUAAGUCAGUUGUGAAAGUUUGCGGCUCAACCGUAAAAUUGCAAUUGAUACUGGCAGUCUAGAGUACAGUUGAGGUAGGCGGAAUUCGUGGUGUAGCGGUGAAAUGCUUAGAGAUCACGAAGAACCCCGAUUGCGAAGGCAGCUUACUAAACUGUGACUGACAUUGAUGCACGAAAGUGUGGGUAUCAAACAGGAUUAGAUACCCGAGUAGUC
Molecule: ribosomal RNA, 460 nt
Filed under: uncultured bacterium
Lineage: Bacteria
Description: partial 16S ribosomal RNA
Rfam family: Bacterial small subunit ribosomal RNA
Source: RNAcentral